Molecule: small RNA, 347 nt
Filed under: Pan troglodytes (chimpanzee)
Lineage: Eukaryota; Metazoa; Chordata; Mammalia; Primates; Hominidae
Description: processed transcript
Source: RNAcentral
AUCCACCGCCUUUGUCUGGAAGCGCAGGGCCUCGCCUGCGGGAUCCAUCGGAAGCCCAAGCAUUGUCAAGCUCUGCUGCUGCACCUGGGUCAGCAAGAUCAAUGCAAUGUCCCGGAAUGGCUUCCAUUUGCCAGGCCUACCAACCUAACUGAUGAGUUUGAGUUUCCCAUUGGGACAUAUCUGAACUAUGAAUGCCGCCCUGGUUAUUAUGGAAGACCAUUUUCUAUCAUCUGCCUAAAAAACUCAGUCUGGACAAGUGCUGAGGACAAGUGCAAACGUAAAUCAUGUCGUAAUCCUCCAGAUCCUGUGAAUGGCAUGGUGCAUGUGAUCAAAGACAUCCAGUUCGG